RNAcentral lists this ribosomal RNA (944 nucleotides) under Bacillus amyloliquefaciens. RNAcentral describes it as "bacterial SSU rRNA". It matches the Rfam family "Bacterial small subunit ribosomal RNA", at positions 327 to 1263 of the family's 1533-position model. The record is from RNAcentral. Lineage: Bacteria; Bacillati; Bacillota; Bacilli; Caryophanales; Bacillaceae.
CGGCCCAGACUCCUACGGGAGGCAGCAGUAGGGAAUCUUCCGCAAUGGACGAAAGUCUGACGGAGCAACGCCGCGUGAGUGAUGAAGGUUUUCGGAUCGUAAAGCUCUGUUGUUAGGGAAGAACAAGUACCGUUCGAAUAGGGCGGUACCUUGACGGUACCUAACCAGAAAGCCACGGCUAACUACGUGCCAGCAGCCGCGGUAAUACGUAGGUGGCAAGCGUUGUCCGGAAUUAUUGGGCGUAAAGGGCUCGCAGGCGGUUUCUUAAGUCUGAUGUGAAAGCCCCCGGCUCAACCGGGGAGGGUCAUUGGAAACUGGGGAACUUGAGUGCAGAAGAGGAGAGUGGAAUUCCACGUGUAGCGGUGAAAUGCGUAGAGAUGUGGAGGAACACCAGUGGCGAAGGCGACUCUCUGGUCUGUAACUGACGCUGAGGAGCGAAAGCGUGGGGAGCGAACAGGAUUAGAUACCCUGGUAGUCCACGCCGUAAACGAUGAGUGCUAAGUGUUAGGGGGUUUCCGCCCCUUAGUGCUGCAGCUAACGCAUUAAGCACUCCGCCUGGGGAGUACGGUCGCAAGACUGAAACUCAAAGGAAUUGACGGGGGCCCGCACAAGCGGUGGAGCAUGUGGUUUAAUUCGAAGCAACGCGAAGAACCUUACCAGGUCUUGACAUCCUCUGACAAUCCUAGAGAUAGGACGUCCCCUUCGGGGGCAGAGUGACAGGUGGUGCAUGGUUGUCGUCAGCUCGUGUCGUGAGAUGUUGGGUUAAGUCCCGCAACGAGCGCAACCCUUGAUCUUAGUUGCCAGCAUUCAGUUGGGCACUCUAAGGUGACUGCCGGUGACAAACCGGAGGAAGGUGGGGAUGACGUCAAAUCAUCAUGCCCCUUAUGACCUGGGCUACACACGUGCUACAAUGGACAGAACAAAGGGCAGCGAAACCGCGAGGU